Molecule: small nuclear RNA, 165 nt
Organism: Anarrhichthys ocellatus (wolf-eel)
Lineage: Eukaryota; Metazoa; Chordata; Actinopteri; Perciformes; Anarhichadidae
Product: U2 spliceosomal RNA
Exons: 1
Source: RefSeq, a predicted model, not a curated record
UUUGUUUUGCACUUUUGUUCAAUAAAGUUUAAUAUUUGAUACAUCCCCGACCUGGAGACCAUAUACUAGAUAGAUGUUGGAACAGGGAGAUUGAACAGGGGCUUGCUCCGUCCACUCUGCCCAUCGACCUGGUAUUGCAGUAUCUCCAGGAACGCUGCACCACAC